Molecule: transfer RNA, 74 nt
Filed under: Podarcis lilfordi (Lilford's wall lizard)
Lineage: Eukaryota; Metazoa; Chordata; Lepidosauria; Squamata; Lacertidae
Description: tRNA.Ser
Rfam family: tRNA (bases 9-66)
About the family: Transfer RNA (tRNA) molecules are approximately 80 nucleotides in length. Their secondary structure includes four short double-helical elements and three loops (D, anti-codon, and T loops). Further hydrogen bonds mediate the characteristic L-shaped molecular structure. tRNAs have two regions of fundamental functional importance: the anti-codon, which is responsible for specific mRNA codon recognition, and the 3' end, to which the tRNAs corresponding amino acid is attached (by aminoacyl-tRNA synthetases). tRNAs cope with the degeneracy of the genetic code in two manners: having more than one tRNA (with a specific anti-codon) for a particular amino acid; and 'wobble' base-pairing, i.e. permitting non-standard base-pairing at the 3rd anti-codon position.
Source: RNAcentral
UCCUAUAGUGGCUCAGUUGGUAGAGCAUGAGACUGCUGAUCUCGGGGUUGUGGGUUCGAGCCCCACGUUGGGCA